UUUUUUUUUUUUUUGCAGGUGACACAAAAUAGACCACACUGCCCUGUCCAACCCCCUGCUGUGACCUACUGGAAACCUGAGUGAUACAAAAUAGACCACAAUGCUCUGUCCAACCAACUGCUGUGACCUACUGGAACCCUUAGGUAAAUAUAUAAUUAACAGUUGCAUGAAAGAAGGAUAGUGUCUUUUGUUCAUCUCUUGAAUGGAGCAUCUCAUUAUGAAAUAUAAGGUACAUUAGGCCGGUAGAUGCAGGGGCCCCCAAAUUAUUGUUCGCCUGGAGCCCCCAAAGGGCUAUGAUCGCCACUGGCAGAAGCAUCAUAUCACAUCAAAUCAUCAUAUCUGCAACGGCCACUGACCAGGCAACACAUGCACGUUGUUAUAAGUUAUUGAAUAUUGAUACGACUGAGAGACAAACUCGUACCCCAUCUUCCUGUGGUUCUAGGUACAACUCGUCCCCGAUCCUCGAAAGGGAAUGAAUGGCCUUGGCAAGUACUGAAACACACACACACACACACACACACACACACACACACACACACACACACACACACACACACACACACACACACACACACACACACACACACACACACACACACACACACACACACACACACACACACACACA
This is a long non-coding RNA of Gadus macrocephalus (Pacific cod), 628 nucleotides long. RefSeq lists it as uncharacterized. The record is from RefSeq and is a predicted model, not a curated record. The transcript has 2 exons. NCBI's taxonomy places the organism in Eukaryota, Metazoa, Chordata, Actinopteri, Gadiformes, Gadidae.